Molecule: ribosomal RNA, 612 nt
Filed under: uncultured bacterium
Lineage: Bacteria
Description: bacterial SSU rRNA
Rfam family: Bacterial small subunit ribosomal RNA
Source: RNAcentral
CCUACGGGAGGCAGCAGUAAGGAAUAUUGGUCAAUGGACGAAAGUCUGAACCAGCCAUGCCGCGUGAAGGAUUAAGGCCCUCUGGGUUGUAAACUUCUUUUAUCUGGGACGAAAAAAGGGUAUUCUUACUCACUUGACGGUACCAGAGGAAUAAGCACCGGCUAACUCCGUGCCAGCAGCCGCGGGUAAUACGGAGGGUGCAAGCGUUAUCCGGGAUUUACUGGGUUUAAAGGGUGCGUAGGUGGGUUUGUAAGUCAGUGGUGAAAUCUCCGAGCUUAACUCGGAAACUGCCAUUGAUACUAUAGAUCUUGAAUUAUCUGGAGGUAAGCGGAAUAUGUCAUGUAGCGGUGAAAUGCUUAGAUAUGACAUAGAACACCAAUUGCGAAGGCAGCUUACUACGGAUAUAUUGACACUGAGGCACGAAAGCGUGGGGAUCAAACAGGAUUAGAUACCCUAGGUAGUCCACGCCCUAAACGAUGGAUACUCGACAUCAGCGAUACACUGUUGGUGUCUGAGCGAAAGCAUUAAGUAUCCCACCUGGGAAGUACGAUCGCAAGAUUGAAACUCAAAUGAGUAGAGNGNGAGAGAGCGAGACGACGACGAGGGAGGAGG